UUUUUUUUUUUUUUUUUUUCCUUUUUCUUUUUAGGGCCACACUCGCAGCAUAUGGAGAGUCCCAGGCUAAGAGCUGAAUCAGAGUUGCAGCUACCCGCCUAUGCCACAGCCACAGCCACGCCACCAGUUCUAUUAAGCUUUGCUGUAUAUAUUUUGAACUUAUGUUAUUUACACAAAUUUAAUACUGGCAUGUUCUCCUAGUGAAAUUAACUUUUAUAAUUAUCUUUACCUCUGGUAAUAUAUUUAGUCUUAAAGUCACCUUUGUCUUUUAGGACUAUAGCUACAUCAGCUUUUUUUAAAAAAACUAGUAUUUUGUUUUAUUUUAUUCUACUUGGCUUUUUACGGCCACACCCAUGGCAUAUGGAAGUUCCCAGGCUAGGGGUUGAACUGGAGUCGUAGCCACUGGCCUACACCACAGCCACAGCAAUGCCAGAUCCGAGCUUUGUCUGUGACCUACACUGCAGCUCACAGCAACGCCAGAUCCUUAACCCAUUGAGCGAGGCCAGGAUCGAACCUGCGUCCUCAUGGAUCUCGGUCAGAUUCAUUUCUGCUGAGCCACAAUGGGAACUCCCAAAACUUGUAUUUUUAUUACUUUAAAACUUUUUUCUUAGGCUUUAGAUGCGUUUUCAUUUUUAAACAACAUAAUCUGCCCCCCCCCAGUCCAGUCUGAAAAUUUUGCCUCUUAACUGGAACAUUUAGUCCGUUUAUAAUAAAUGUAAAUGCGUAGUUAAUAUAAAUGUAAUGCAUACCUACGAUAAAUAUUUGGAAUUAAAUACUUUGUGCUAUUUGUCUCAUCCUAUACUUUUUUCUUUUCUUUCUGGCCUUUAAGGAAUUGUCUGCCUGUGUUUUACUAUUUAAUUCAUAUAAUUUAUUUCCUUAAAGAUUUGAAACGAUAUACUCUGUUUCUAUUCGUUUAGUGCAGGGGCUGGCAGGUUUUUUUUUUUCUGUAGAAAGCCAGAUGGUAAAUAUUUUAGGCUUUGCACGCCACAGACAGUCUGUCACACAUGCUUCUUUGUUUGGAUUUUUAUAACCCUUUUUGUACAUCCAAACCAUCCUUUGCUUGCAAGCCCUACAAAAACAGGCUGCAAGCUGGGUUUGACCCAUGGGCGAGAGUGUCCUGACUCUGGUUUUGGUGUUAUAAUUUACUAGAAAUUAUAACAUGCAUAUUUAUUAAAGCCUAAAAUUAAUCAAAACCUUUUAUCCUUCCCCUGAAUAACACAUUGCUAUUAGAACAUUUCGAGGCUAUUCACUUCCUGCUCCCAAUUUAUUUGUUACGUUGUCUGGUAUUUUCAUUUUAUUUUUAUUACUGUUAUUUUUUGGCCAUGCCCAAGGCAUGCGGAAUUCCCCAGGGUCCAGGGAUCGAACCUGAGCCACCGCAGCGACAAUGCCAGCUCCUUAGCCACUAGGCCACCAGGGAACUCCUGUACUUCGACAUCUUUGACCUGGUUACGACCAUUGGCUUUGCAAAAUGGCUGGUGGGCCUUCCCCCAAGGUCUGGCAUGGAUGCGACUCCCUCCAGCCUUGUGUUUGUUUCUGAUGGGCCGCUGGGACACGGACAGGUGGAAAGAUGUCAGACCAAGUUCCCAGCUUGAGGUUCCCUGUGUGCGCGGGCAGGCUGUUACCUGGGGCGGCGGAGUGCCUGCGUGUCAGUCUACAGCUACCAUCCUCAGAGUGGCCUGCUUCCCGGCCCCUUUGCUUCUGCUCUUCUCAGUCCCAAAUUGCUUCCUGGGGCCAAGCGGAGGGGCUUGCUUUUGUUCUGGUUGACUUUUUUCCUGAGGUGGGGGUCCUGACCUACCUGGGGAAGGUCUGCUUAAAGACUCUCCUCCUGUGACGUUGGCCUCGACUUCUGUCCUGCUCACCCUGAAAGCCCCCAGACCCAAGCCCAAGUGGGAGGCAUCUGCCAAUGCCCUUCGUACAGAAGUGGCUUUGGUGAUUCUCUUAUUUUGCUUACCCCUCUGGGGUUGGAUUCUCUCCUCACAUUUAGCCAGAGCUGCUGCCCCCUGAUCUUUCUGGCUCUUCAAUUAAAUUUUUUUACUCAGCAUUUUAAACUGUGUUCAGAGGGAAAAGGAAGUCUACCGUCCCUGGAAACAAAUCUCUUAAGAUCAGUUUGAGUGUGAGAGGCUGAGGGGAUGUUUUGUGUUGAGAUGCGUAAAAGAAAAUCUUGGCGUUCCCGUUGUGGCUUAGUGGUUAAUGAACCUGACUAGUAUUCAUGAAGAUGCGGGUUCGAUCCCUGGCCUCCCUCUGUGCGUCAAGUAUCUGGCGUUGCCGUGAGCUGUGGUGUAGGUUGCAGACGCAGCUGGGAUCCCGUGUUGCUGUGGCUCUGGCCGGCAGCCACAGCUCCAAUUGGACCCCUAGCUAGCCUGGAAACCUCCAUAUGCCAAGGGUGUGGCCCUAAAAAGACAAAAAAGAAAAAAAAAUCUUCUCUUUAUAGUGCCAGUCUCUACAUAUAUCCAGCCUACACCUUGUCACCCCUCGGGUGUCCCAUUGCCAGGAUGCUGCGUCCCCUGAGAGGGUGUGAACAGAAGGAAGUUAGAGAUGGCUGGCUGAGCUCAGCGAAAGAUCAGAUGCUUUUCCUUCCUAGGGGAGGCAGGAAGGUGGAGCCUGACUCCCCACCUCCUGGCACACCUCCCAGUGACCUCACCUAGGUCCACUUGUCCCUGAACUGCUGCGCUAAGAACCUCCUGCGUCCUACUGGAGGGGAUGCUUGGUGAAAAGGGUGCAGUGCUGUGGGUUGAUGAGAGCACUGGCUGCCCAGAAAUCACAGCUCCCUCAUGUACAAGUUACAUAACCUCAGGAAGUUACCUCACCUCUCCUGGUCUCAGUUUACAGAUCUGCAAUAUGGGCUGAUUAUAAGAUUAACUAGCUUAUAGAGUUGAUAGAAUAAACUAGUUAACAAUGGUGAUGGAACUAUAAAAUCUUUUUCAAAAUGGGCUGAUAGGAGUUCCCUGGUGGCUCCGUGGGGUAAGAACCUAGUGUUGUCACUGCUGUGGCUUGGGUUGCUGCUGUGGCAUGAGUUUGAUCCCUGGCCCAGGAACGUCCACAUGCCAUGGAUGUGGCCAAAAAAAGACAAAAAAAUAAAUAAAAAGGGAUGAUAAAAACUAUCUCACACACUUCUCCAGGUCAACUGAAAUCAUAGACCCAUUAUGACUAUUGCAUUUGCUCUUUGAAUCUCAUGCAACUCUUCAUUUUUGAGAUGAGAGGCUGAGACCCAGAGAAGGCAGGGAUUCCAUCAAAGCCUCCCAGCCGGCCACUGGCUCCCUGACCUGAGAAGGGGUAUGCCAGGGUCCCGGCCCCAGGUCUGCCACCACUGACUCCUGUGUGACGGUGGCCUCAUCUGUUCCCUCUCUGGGCCUUGGUUUGUCUCUCUGCCUGCCUCCUGCUCCGUCUGACUGGUGGGGGGGCAGUGUUCUGACCAAGGUUUUGUAAUGGGAUGUUUGGGGGUUUUAGUUGUUAAGUCACGUAAGGACCCAGAAGGGCCGGGCAGGGGUGCAGCAGUGGUGACUUGAGGCUGCCUUCCAGGAACCCACGCACUUGAGAACUUGCAGCCUCAAACCAACUGCUUGUACCGCCCAUAGCACUUAAGGAGGUGUUAGCCAACAGCGGCGACUUGGUAGGUAGCUUCUCACGGAGGGGGGUGGGAAUGACAGUGAGGGGGUGGCCUCAGACAGGCACAACGCCUCUAUUCAGACUCACCUUCCCUGAGCUGAGGCAGGACACCUGGGCUCUGGCUUCCGAUUCUGUUUCGAGCCAGCCCCCGCCCCUUUCUGGGCCUUAGUCCCCAGUCAAAGAAAUGGGACCAGAGACAGCAUAGAUAAGUCUCGAGAGUCCCAUGUGACCUGCCCAUCAGGCAAAGGUGUGACUGUGCAUCCUGGUGUGUGGACAGGAGAACCUCCACCUGCCCCUGCACAGGGGAAAGGCAGCGCUGAGUGGGGAUACGGAACCGCUGCCCGGACUGCCUUAUUGUCGGACCUUGCUGAGCCUCAGUGCUCCCUACCUGCGCAAGGGGAGAGCAGGGGCCUCCAGCACAGCAGGGCUGGGAGGAUCCCCUGAGAUGAUCCCAGGGCCCGGCCCAGCUGUCAGAACAAAAAGCAACUCCCAUUCACCAAGGCCGCCUCCCACCCGGCCUCCACUCCCAGAGGAAGCCAAGACCUCGGAAGAGGCCUUGGCUGUGAUGGUUCCAGAGCAGGUGCCUCAACCCCCCCUCCUGUGGCCGGGGCUCUCACACACCCAUAUCCUGUCCUGCCUCCAGGCCAACCCCCAAAUUAUCAUUUAGUUUGGACCACCAGCUUGCAGGCGGUUAAUUGCGCCCAUCAGGAAACAGGAAGAACUAUAAUGAGCAAUUCAUUAAUAAAACUGGUGACUGCCCGAGCUAAUGCUUUCGGGGAGAACUGAUUUCAUUAGCCACUUGGUCCCUCUGGCAAAGGCUGAGAUCUGCGGCUCGCAUCCUCCAGGAUCCUAGGGGACAUAAGCUACCGCUGAUUCUCCUUGUGCAGAGAGCCAGCUCUGUGCCAAGCAGUGCGCUUGGCAAAGCCCACCAGAUGCGGUCCUUACAGUGUGAUGUUCUCAUUAUGCCUGUUUCGUAGGUGGGAAAUUGACACUCAGAAAGAUUACUCUCUUCCCAAGGACACGUAACUAAGUACAAAUUGGUUCCAGUCUGUGACUCCAAAGGUGUUUUCUCCUUGCGCGACCCCCUCAAAUACAUGGUUCUUUUUAUGGAUGGGAGGUCCCAGAGUCUGUGAGCUAAGAAACUGUUGCCUGACUCCCUCCUAGGCUUGUGGGGGUUUGAAGGGGAUAAUGCGUGGACUCAACGUCGGUUCCUAAAGCAACCCCACUGUUUUAGUGAAAAAAGGAAUCCCUCAGGUGUUAGACACACUGAGGCUGGCUUGUCCCCUCCAGCCACUCUCCUGCCGCUCAAGCCACUGGCCUCCAUCUUCAAGUUCCAGAGUCUUCCUCUGCUGCUCACUUAGCUCUUGCCUGUCCGUGGCUCUCUCCACGAGAGACAGCAUGAAUGUGAUUUUAGAUGGCACGGGGAGAUUGGUUUUUAAUUUCAGUCUCAUGAAUAGCUUUUCAUUAAUUAUGGCCUGUGACUGUGGACCUUUAACACAGAAUGUUGUGUUUUCUUUAAAAAGCAAUCAUUCUGAAUUCAGUUUAUGAAGGCUCAUAGAGGAGUUCCCGUUGUGGCUUAGCAGUAAUGAACCCAACUCAUAUCCAUGAGGUUGUGGAUUCGAUCCCUGGCCUUGCUCAGUGGGUUGAAGAUCCAGCGUUGCUGUGAGCUGUGGUGUAGGUUCCAGACGCAGCUCAGAUCCUGCGUGGCUGUGGUGUAGGCUGGCAGCAGUAGAUCCAAUUUGACCCCUAGCCUGGGAACCUCCAUGUGCUGUGGGUAUGG
RNAcentral lists this transfer RNA (5386 nucleotides) under Sus scrofa (pig). RNAcentral's name for it is "lncRNA (ENSSSCG00000059036.1)". The record is from RNAcentral. Lineage: Eukaryota; Metazoa; Chordata; Mammalia; Artiodactyla; Suidae.